GACUGUGCAAGAUUCUGGGGAUAGAGCAUGCAGCUAAAAAAGGCCCCUGUCCCAAUGAGUCAAAGGUAUAUCAAAACUCUGUUGGAAUUGGGACAUAGGAGUGAUCCAUAUUGGGCCACAGAGAGAGAAGCAACAUCCUGGAGAUGACAGAGCAAAACAGCAGGCUGGUGCCUCAUAACUUCACAGUGCAGAGUCACCCUAUCAUCUCAGGCUUUAAAUGAGAGUGAAAUAAACUUC
RNAcentral lists this long non-coding RNA (237 nucleotides) under Homo sapiens (human). Its description in RNAcentral is "HSALNT0293656". The record is from RNAcentral. Lineage: Eukaryota; Metazoa; Chordata; Mammalia; Primates; Hominidae.